GCGUCUCAGCAGAGAGGAAGCCCGCUUCAUGUUAAAGUUGAUCCAGUUGUGCUGUUCUAAACAGGCCUUCUUCGCCUCCACUGUUGGAAUAUCUCUAUACCUCCCUAUAAUCAAAGGAGUCCUGCAGAGUGAAAUUCUGACUGUAAUAAAAUAUUAAAGAGACAUAUGCAUUGUGUUUUGUUCUAAAAUUUUCCCUACACUUGAAUCUAUUAUAUAACUCUCUUAACUACUUUGUGAUGCAUCGUGGUACAUUGAACUGUAAAGGUUAUGUGAAAUUUGUACUAAUAUUCAGCUCUAGAAUCCAGUCAAAUGUGUCCUUUUUUACUUUGAGCACCUGCCCCUUCAGUGGUCUCUGCGCGGCCCUGGUUGAGAUUAAAGUGAAGUUACAAGACGGGGUUGUUUUUUUUAACUUUAAUGUCUGACUAGAGCGCUGGAGUUUACUUGGAAAUUAAUAAUUAGCUUGUUUUUAAUAUUGAUGCUGGGAAUAUUGCCUAAUUAAAGAGAACAACCCUGACUGCAAACAUGUUAAUA
Fundulus heteroclitus (mummichog) is the source of this 531-nucleotide long non-coding RNA. RefSeq lists it as uncharacterized. Lineage: Eukaryota; Metazoa; Chordata; Actinopteri; Cyprinodontiformes; Fundulidae. The record is from RefSeq and is a predicted model, not a curated record. The transcript is spliced from 3 exons.